UAAGGAAUAUUGGACAAUGGUCGCAAGACUGAUCCAGCCAUGCCGCGUGCAGGAAGACGGCCCUAUGGGUUGUAAACUGCUUUUGUACCAGAGAAAACCUAUCUACGUGUAGAUAACUGAUAGUAUGGUAAGAAUAAGCAUCGGCUAACUUCGUGCCAGCAGCCGCGGUAAGACGAAGGAUGCAAGCGUUAUCCGGAUUCAUUGGGUUUAAAGGGUGCGUAGGCGGGCUUGUAAGUCAGUGGUGAAAUCUCUCAGCUUAACUGAGAAACUGCCAUUGAUACUGCAGGCCUAGAGUAUAGAUGACGUUGGCGGAAUAUGACAUGUAGUGGUGAAAUACUUAGAUAAGGGAAGGAACACCAGUGGCGAAGGCGACCACCUGGACUGAUACUGACACUGAGGUGCGAAAGCGUGGGGAGCAAACA
This 422-nucleotide ribosomal RNA is filed under the name uncultured bacterium. RNAcentral describes it as "bacterial SSU rRNA". It matches the Rfam family "Bacterial small subunit ribosomal RNA", at positions 355 to 774 of the family's 1533-position model. The record is from RNAcentral.